UGUGGUGUAUGGCCGUUGUUAGUUGGUGGAGUGAUUUGUCUGGUUAAUUCCGAUAACGAACGAGACUCUGUCCUGCUAAAUAGUUUCAACGUCUUUUUCGCGUUGGAAUUUCUUCUUAGAGGGACUGGCGGCGUCUAGCCGCACGAGAUUGAGCAAUAACAGGUCUGUGAUGCCCUUAGAUGUUCUGGGCUGCACGCGCGCUACACUGAAGGGCUCAGCGUGUUUUCCCUUUUCGAGAGAAACGGGUAACCCGCUGAAUUCCCUUCGUGGUAGGGAUCGGGGCUUGCAAUUAUUCCCCGU
This 300-nucleotide ribosomal RNA is filed under the name Copepoda sp. DC-2019. RNAcentral describes it as "SSU rRNA". It matches the Rfam family "Eukaryotic small subunit ribosomal RNA", at positions 1273 to 1600 of the family's 1831-position model. The record is from RNAcentral. Lineage: Eukaryota; Metazoa; Arthropoda; Copepoda.